RNAcentral lists this transfer RNA (98 nucleotides) under Trametes sanguinea. RNAcentral describes it as "tRNA-Arg". It matches the Rfam family "tRNA". Rfam says of the family: Transfer RNA (tRNA) molecules are approximately 80 nucleotides in length. Their secondary structure includes four short double-helical elements and three loops (D, anti-codon, and T loops). The record is from RNAcentral. Lineage: Eukaryota; Fungi; Basidiomycota; Agaricomycetes; Polyporales; Polyporaceae.
GGCUACCUGGCGCAAUGGUAGCGCGUUUGGCUUCGAUCGCCGACGGCACCGUCAGUCACGUGACCAAAAGGUUGCAGGUUCGAGUCCUGCGGUGGUCA